AGAGUUUGAUCCUGGCUCAGGAUGAACGCUGGCGGCGUGCUUAACACAUGCAAGUCGAACGGUGAAGCUCCAGCUUGCUGGAGUGGAUCAGUGGCGAACGGGUGAGUAACACGUGAGCAACCUGCCCCGGACUCUGGGAUAACAGUUGGAAACAGCUGCUAAUACCGGAUACGCACCAUACAGGCAUCUGUUGUGGUGGGAAAGAUUUUUUGGUUCGGGAUGGGCUCGCGGCCUAUCAGCUUGUUGGUGAGGUAAUGGCUCACCAAGGCGUCGACGGGUAGCCGGCCUGAGAGGGUGACCGGCCACACUGGGACUGAGACACGGCCCAGACUCCUACGGGAGGCAGCAGUGGGGAAUAUUGCACAAUGGGCGGAAGCCUGAUGCAGCAACGCCGCGUGAGGGAUGACGGCCUUCGGGUUGUAAACCUCUUUUAGCAGGGAAGAAGCGAGAGUAACGGUACCUGCAGAAAAAGCGCCGGCUAACUACGUGCCAGCAGCCGCGGUAAUACGUAGGGCGCAAGCGUUAUCCGGAAUUAUUGGGCGUAAAGAGCUCGUAGGCGGUCUGUCGCGUCUGCUGUGAAAACCCGAGGCUCAACCUCGGGCCUGCAGUGGGUACGGGCAGACUAGAGUGCGGUAGGGGAGAUUGGAAUUCCUGGUGUAGCGGUGGAAUGCGCAGAUAUCAGGAGGAACACCGAUGGCGAAGGCAGAUCUCUGGGCCGUAACUGACGCUGAGGAGCGAAAGGGUGGGGAGCAAACAGGCUUAGAUACCCUGGUAGUCCACCCCGUAAACGUUGGGAACUAGUUGUGGGGACCUUUCCACG
This 820-nucleotide ribosomal RNA is filed under the name Microbacterium sp. J54CAD. Its description in RNAcentral is "bacterial SSU rRNA". It matches the Rfam family "Bacterial small subunit ribosomal RNA", at positions 8 to 845 of the family's 1533-position model. The record is from RNAcentral. Lineage: Bacteria; Bacillati; Actinomycetota; Actinomycetes; Micrococcales; Microbacteriaceae.